Molecule: ribosomal RNA, 465 nt
Filed under: uncultured bacterium
Lineage: Bacteria
Description: partial 16S ribosomal RNA
Rfam family: Bacterial small subunit ribosomal RNA
Source: RNAcentral
AACGAACGCUGGCGGUAUGCUUAACACAUGCAAGUCGAACGAACAAAAUUGGGGCUUGCUCCAAUUUUAGUGAGUGGCAAACGGGUGAGUAACACGUGGGAAUCUACCUAUCAGUACGGAAUAACAUUUGGAAACAGAUGCUAAUACCGUAUAUUCUCCAAGGAGGAAAGAGUUAUCGCUGAUAGAUGAGCCCGCGUAAGAUUAGGUAGUUGGUAGGGUAAUGGCCUACCAAGCCGACGAUCUUUAGCUGGUCUGAGAGGAUGAUCAGCCACACUGGACUGAGCCACGGCCCAGACACCUACGGGAGGCAGCAGUGGGGAAUAUUGGACAAUGGGCGAAAGCCUGAUCCAGCUAUACCGCGUGAAUGAUGAAGGCCUUAGGGUUGUAAAGUUCUUGUAGUUGGAAAGAUAAUGACGGUACCAACAGAAAAAGCCCCGGCUAACUCCGUGCCAGCCGCCGCCGUAA